This is a long non-coding RNA of Oncorhynchus tshawytscha (Chinook salmon), 1130 nucleotides long. NCBI's taxonomy places the organism in Eukaryota, Metazoa, Chordata, Actinopteri, Salmoniformes, Salmonidae. The record is from Ensembl.
CCCUCCUCUAGCCAAGUAGCAUGCAGCCCCAGCCCCUCCUCUAGCCCAGUAGCAUGCAGCCCAAGCCCCUCCUCUGGCCCAGGAGCAUGCAGCCCCUCCUCUAGCCCAGAAGGAUGCAGCCCCAGCCCCUCCUCUAGCCCAGAAGGAUGCAGCCCCUCCUCUGGCCCAGUAGCAUGCAGCCCCAGCCCCUCCUCUAGCCCAGUAGCAUGCAGCCCCAGCCCUCCUCUAGCCCAGAAGCAUGCAGCCCCUCCUCUGGCCCAGUAGCAUGCAUCCCCAGCCCCUCCUCUAGCCCAGAAGCAUGCAGCCCCUCCUCUAGCCCAGAAGGAUGCAGCCCCUCCUCUGGCCCAGUAGCAUGCAGCCCCAGCCCCUCCUCUAGCCCAGAAGCAUGCAGCCCCUCCUCUAGCCCAGUAGCAUGCAGCCCCAGCCCCUCCUCUAGCCCAGUAGCAUGUAGCCUCAGCCCCUCCUCUAGCCCAGUAGCAUGCAGCCCCAGCCCCUCCUCUGGCCGACCCAGUAGCAUGCAGCCUCAGCGCCUCCUCUAGCCCAGUAGCAUGCAGCCCCAGCCCCUCCUCUCGCCGACCCAGUAGCAUGCAGCCUCAGCCCCUCCUCUAGCCCAGUAGCAUGCAGCCCCAGCCCCUCCUCUGGCCGACCCAGUAGCAUGCAGCCUCAGCGCCUCCUCUAGCCCAGUAGCAUGCAGCCCCAGCCCAUCCUCUAGCCCAGUAGCAUGCAGCCUCAGCGCCUCCUCUAGCCCAGUACAAUGUAGCCCCAGCCCAUCCUCGAGCCCCGUAGCAUAAAGCCCCUCCUCUAGCCCAGAAGGAUGCAGCCACUCCUCUGGUACAGUAGCAUGCAUUCCCAGCACCUCCUCUAGCCGGCCCACAUGCAGCCCCUCCUGUAGCCCAGUAGCAUGCAACCCCAGCCCCUCCUCUAGCCCAGUAGCAUGCAGCCCAAGCCCCUCCUCUGGCCCAGGAGCAUGCAGCCCCUCCUCUAGCCCAGAAGGAUGCAGCCCCAGCCCCUCCUCUAGCCCAGAAGGAUGCAGCCCCUCCUCUGGCCCAGUAGCAUGCAGCCCCAGCCCCUCCUCUAGCCCAGUAGCAUGCAGCCCCAGCCGCUCCUCUAGCCCAGUAGCAUGCAGCCCC